GAGUUUUUUUCCACCCGGGAGGAGUUGAUGGGGACAUCAGCUAGAUCCCCAUCUUAUUUACAUAUUUGUUUAUUUUAUGUCUGGAUUCAUUUGCCUUUAGGGUUUAUUUGUGGUUUAUUUUAUUUCUGGGCUUAUUUGCAUUUUAGGGCUUAUUUGUGAGUUAUUUGUGUUAUUUGUGGGUUAUUAGGAUUUAUUUCUUUGUAAAGGGGAUUUAUGCAAAUUAUGUAUUUUGGUCCUAUAUAUUGGGACUUAUUUUCAUGAUGAGGAAUUAAUGAAAGUUUAAGAAAUUUUCUCCCCCACGUAUCCUCCUCCUCUCUUCUCUUCUCAUUCUUCUCCUCCUCUUCCUCCUUCUCUUCUCCCUCUUCUUCUGGAAUAGGUUCUACAUCAAUCACCAUCGAGAACCGGAAUCAAACUAGAAAGCAAGAACCAUAAGAAUGGGGAAGUUACCCUAAAGAAACGCCAAAACUGGGCAUGAAAUGAAGGAUUAUAUAUCAAGAAUAC
RNAcentral lists this long non-coding RNA (501 nucleotides) under Phoenix dactylifera (date palm). RNAcentral's name for it is "long non-coding RNA (PDAC_LNC012183)". The record is from RNAcentral. Lineage: Eukaryota; Viridiplantae; Streptophyta; Magnoliopsida; Arecales; Arecaceae.